CAUGGGAAGCCGAGUCGAGGCGCCGUGAUCCCAGCCAGAUCUAGAAAGCUUCUGUAUGCUGAGAAAGGAGGCCUACUGUACUAUGUCCACUAGACGGAACCUAAAAGGUCCGCCCCUGCUACAGGCCGCAAGGAAUGUUCUGAAACAAUCCAUGGCACAGCUGCAGAGCUAUGGAAGGGGCCUGAACCCUAACUCUCAGUACCUG
This 205-nucleotide long non-coding RNA is filed under the name Homo sapiens (human). RNAcentral describes it as "non-protein coding MAFTRR:20". Lineage: Eukaryota; Metazoa; Chordata; Mammalia; Primates; Hominidae. The record is from RNAcentral.